Molecule: RNA transcript, 6377 nt
Organism: Physeter macrocephalus (sperm whale)
Lineage: Eukaryota; Metazoa; Chordata; Mammalia; Artiodactyla; Physeteridae
Gene: TEF
Gene name: TEF transcription factor, PAR bZIP family member
Exons: 6
Source: RefSeq, a predicted model, not a curated record
UGCGGCGGGUCGCACGGCUCCGUCCCAUCUCGGGGGGCGGGCGGGGGAGGCGAGGCGCGCGAGCAGAGCGCGGGACACGAUGUCCGACGCGGGCGGCGGAAAGAAGCCGCCUGUAGAGCCGCAGGCAGGGCCGGGCCCGGGGCCAGGGCGCGCAGCCGGGGAAAGGGGCCUGCCGGGCUCCUUCCCUCUGGUCCUGAAGAAGCUGAUGGAGAACCCCCCGCGCGAGGCGCGCCUAGAUAAGGAAAAGGGGAAGGAAAAGCUGGAGGAAGACGAGGCUGCAGCAGCCAGCACCAUGGCCGUCUCUGCCUCCCUCAUGCCACCCAUCUGGGACAAGACCAUCCCAUAUGAUGGCGAGUCUUUCCACCUGGAGUACAUGGACCUGGAUGAGUUCCUGCUGGAGAAUGGCAUCCCUGCCAGCCCCACCCACCUGGCCCAGAACCUGCUGCUGCCUGUGGCUGAGCUAGAAGGGAAGGAGUCGGCCAGCUCCUCCACGGCGUCCCCACCAUCCUCCUCCACUGCUGUCUUUCAGCCCUCGGAAACCGUGUCUAGCACAGAAUCCUCCCUGGAAAAGGAGAGGGAGACACCCAGUCCCAUCGACCCCAACUGCGUGGAGGUGGAUGUGAACUUCAAUCCCGACCCUGCCGACCUGGUCCUCUCCAGUGUGCCGGGCGGGGAGCUGUUCAACCCUCGGAAGCACAAGUUUGCAGAGGAGGACCUGAAGCCCCAGCCCAUGAUCAAAAAGGCCAAGAAGGUCUUUGUCCCCGAUGAGCAGAAGGAUGAAAAGUACUGGACGAGACGCAAGAAGAACAACGUGGCGGCCAAGCGGUCCCGGGACGCCCGGCGCCUGAAGGAGAACCAGAUCACCAUCCGGGCGGCCUUCCUGGAGAAGGAGAACACAGCCCUGCGGACGGAGGUGGCGGAGCUGCGCAAGGAGGUGGGCAAGUGCAAGACCAUCGUGUCCAAGUACGAGACCAAGUACGGGCCCUUGUAACCCGUGCCCCCGCCCGGGCGCGCUGCCUCACCUCAGACCUCUGCCUGGGACCCCUGAAACCCACCCCUGCGUGGAGACUUAUGACUCGUCGUGGGCGCAUGGUGGUGCAUCUGCCCCAGGAGCCUUCACGUUCAAGCUUCAUUAUCACAUGGCCAGCACGGCGACUUCCCUGGGGGCCAGCCUCCUCCCUGGCGGGAUGCGAGAGAAUCUACGAGGUGGUGAAUCAGCCUUAGUCUCUGUUCUUGGCUGUCUCAGUUGGACCGGAAGGGGACCUCUGGAGCAUGGGCUCUUCUUUUCCAGGGUACCCAGGCUUCCCUGACUCUCCCUGCUUCUCCAGCCUGGGCUGUCCCGGCCUGUCUCUGCAGAAUGAGUCAUGAUGGCUGUCGCCCUUACAUCUCCUCAGGUAGCAGGGCGCAUUUCCAGGCAGGGAGGGUCUGUUGUCCUCCCCAGAAAGUCGUAGAGAAAAACAUCCGUUCCCAUCUUCCUCAAAGCAGAGAUUUGUGCGGCCACGGGAAGCACAGGGGCUGUGGGCUCGGACUAUGUCAAAGCUGGGAGAUGUCUGCCGAGCAUGUAGCAGGUAAGAGCAUGGGCUUGGAAUUAGUCCUGGGAUCAGAUCUGCCUCCAUCACUAAUUUGGGGUGUGAUCUUGGGCGAGUCACUUCCCCUGUCUGGGUUUCUGGUUUUUUAUCUAUAGAAUGGGCACCAGCCUCACAGGCACCUGGCACAGGGUGGGUGCUCCCCACAUGGCAGCUGCUGCUGUGGCGAUGCCGCAGAGGGUAGUGAGCUGCACAGAGAUGAGCCCUCGAGGCCUGGCAGCUGCCAGCCACGGCAAGAGGUACGGGGGUGUCCCCCGGACGGUGUGGGAUGCAGCCACGGCAAGGGGUACGGGGGUGUCCCCCGGACGGUGUGGGAUGGGUUGGAGCCGCUCUGUGGCCCCAGGCAAGUGGCUCCGCCUCCCUGAGCUAGCUCCCUCUCUGCAGUGCUACACAGAUAACACGCGAGGGUCUGACACAGUCCUCCCUCCCACCCGCCUCCCUGGAGGACAAAUCUCGAAAGCUGGACACAGGCCCCCUUCCUUGACUGUACCCAACUACCACACAGCCCCAUACACACCCCACGGCUGUGCCACACUGGCCCAGCUGGCAGCUCCUGACGUCAGCACCUAAUCCGGGAAAGCUGCCAGCCAGAGACAGGGCUGAGCAGCAGAGGAAAUCAGAGACAGGUUUGAAGGUGGGUGCCCAGCCCCCAGCCAGCACUCCCUGCGCUCUCAUCAGCUUCUCACUGCAGCAGAGCCUCCCAACCAAGCAGGUUGAUGCCGGGACCCCGUGGAGCGGGAGCCUUUAAUUGUGAGCAGGGACUGCACGGUACUCAGCCUCCGUCAGCUCCCAGGCUGCGGGUGUCUCCAAGCUGGGCAGGGGGCAUCCACUCCCACCUAGAUUCCAGGCUGACUCCAAGUCCCUGUGGGGCAGGGGCUUGGGGACCGUGGGGGGCAGGAGGGGCUGGCAGUCAGCAGGGCCAGGUCCCUCAGGGCCGAAGAGCAUGGCUGUUUUCCUGGGGUCUGAGUCCAGAACUGCUCGGACCCAGGUCUGCGGCAAGGCUGGGCCAUGCCCCCGACCCCAGGCCUCUGAGAAGCUGCUAGACCAAGCUCAAAUCGCCCUAAGAGCCUACCCUAGAGGCUUGCCAAGGCUGCAGGGGCGUGAGUAGAGCAAGUGGAGGUGCCAAAAGCUGGGGCCGGAGUCCUAAGCCAGGAGCCGGUGCCCAACCCACCAGACUUGCUGGGCUCCUCCUUGCUCUGGGCCUCAAUUUCCCCAUCUGCCCAAGAGCCCUGGACUUGUGGAUCUCAGUACCGAGGUUCAGACUCGGGAACACCCCAGGCAUGGGCAAGCCCAGCCUUCCCUUCAGUCUCUUCUCUGCCUCACAAACUCCUAGUCAUCCUUCUAGGCCCCAGUCAGCUGUCACCUCCACCAGGAAGGCUUCACCAACACUCUCGGGAACCAGCUGCUCCUCCUGCAUGGUCCCACACCUUCCUCUACAGGCCCCCCGGCCAGGCCCCUCCCUCCCUCACACUUGAGGUAAAGAUCCAAUGAGUUAAAACUUGUGAAAUGCUUAGAAUAGUGCCUGACAUGGACCUACGGCAAGCAGCCGUAGAUGCCAGCUAUUAUUCUUAUCACCACCUGUAUUUUAUAGAUGAGGAAACUGAGGCUCAGAAAAAAAGGAAUGACAUUUUUUUUUUUUUGCCACACUGCACAGCAUGUGGGAUCCUAGUUCCCCAACCAGGGAUUGAACCCAAGCCCCCUGCAUUGGAAGCAUGGAGUCUUAACCACUGGACCGCCAGGGAAGUCCCAGGAAUGACUUGUUCUAAUCCCAUAUCUUGUCAGUGGUUGAGCCAGGAUUUGGACCCAGGCAGCCCAACUCCAGGGCCCUCCCUCUCAGCCUUCCUGCCUGUUACUAGGGAUGAAGUGUCCUGCCCCCAGUAACCCAGUCCCUUCCCAAGGGCACCCAUCCCAUCCCCACUUGCCUGGGAAAGGACAUUGCCCCUGAGAUUCUCUCUCCCGUGUCAUCAGUCCCUCCCUCUCCACAAGAUCAUUCCAUCAGCCCAAAACAUGCUCUAAAAUCUUCCAUCCUAAAAAUUAAAUAGGGCUUCCCUGGUGGCGUGGUGGUUGAGAGUCCGCCUGCCGAUGCAGGGGACACGGGUUCGUGCCCCGGUCCGGGAAGAUCCCACAUGCCGCAGAGCAGCUGGGCCCUUGAGCCAUGGCCGCUGGGCCUGCGCGUCCAGAGCCUGUGCUUCCCCAACGGGAGAGGCCACAGCAGUGAGAGGCCUGCGUACCGCAAAAAAAAAAAAAAAAAAAAAAUUAAAUAAGCUGAGCCCCCAUUGCCCUCCGGCUACCACCAUUCUUCUGCUCCCUUUACCGUGAAACUCCACAGGAGUGAGUCCUACAUUCACAGCCCCCCUCAGGCUUCCACCCUCCACUGAAGCCACCUUCUCAAGGUCACACUGAUGACCACCUUGGUGUUGCCACAUCAACCUGGGUCGAUCUCAAGCUCAUCUUUCUCUGCUUCUGAGCAGCGUUUGGCCCAGUUGCUCACUCCUGCCUUAUUGAAACCCUCUCUCCCCGGCUCCAGAUUCACCUCCCUCCAUGGCUGCUCCUCCUGUCUCCCCGAACUCUAACUGUCAGAGGCCCCAGGGUCAGCAGGUGCCCUGCUCCCCGGGUCAUUCACUCUGUUCAAGGCUUGGAGUGCCACCCAUGCCCUGGCAACUCCCACAGGUGUCUACAGCCCCAUCCUCUCCCCUGGGCUCCAGACUCGUGCCUCCACCUGCUCCCUUGCCAGCUCCACCUUGACCUGCCCAAACGCUCCUGGUCUCCCCAGAGCCACUCCUCAGUUUUCCCUUCAAAGUGAAGGGCCCCACCAUUCCUCAGGUGCUCAGAAUAAAGCCUUGGGGUCAUCCUUGAUCACCUGCUUUAUUUCACAGCCCCAUCCAAUCCGUCCACAAUUCCUGUCAGUUCUAGAAUCCAGCCAUUUCCUCCCACCCCCAAGGCCACCCCGUGGUGUCCGAGCCACCAUAUGUCCUGCCUGGGUUAUGGCAGCCUCCUCCUGAUUUCCUGUUUUCACCCUGCAGUCUGUCCUCCUCACAGCUGCCUAUAACCAUCGUCAUAUCCCGUGGCUCCCAACACACUCAGAAACAAAUCCAAACUUGUCACCGCAGCCUACAAAGCCCUUUGAGACCUGGCUGUCUACCUGGUCCACUUCCCCUCCCUCUCCACCCCUGGCACUUUGACCGUUUUGCUCCACCUGGGUCACGCCCAACUCCUUCCUAUCUCAGAGCCUUUGCACUUGCCGUUCCAUCUGCCUGGAGUGCUAUCCCCCAGAUCUUCUCAGCCCAGCUGCAUUCGCAGUGCCUGGCCUGCCUGGUGCUUGGCACUGUCUGCCAAACCCACAGGGACAGGAUGACAGGACCAGGGAUGGUGUGGCGGGAGCGCCACUGUCACCACCAGGUGGCGCGGCAGACACAUCCCUGGGCGGUGACCUCUGGUCCAGCCUCCAGAUUUGUCCUCUCAGCAAAGCCUCGCGGGGCCUCCCGUGCCAGGCGGUGCUGUGAGGCACCAGCUGCCUCGGCCCCGCCCUGCCUGCCCUCCAGCGGCUGCUGGCAGACACUGUCUAGAGGUAUCCAAGGAGCCUGGAAGAAGGGAAGGCUGGCUGCCUCCCAGGGCCUGUACUUCUAGGCUCUUUCUGGGGAGGGAGUAGACGUCUAAGCCUGAGAGGGACGUGUGGGGAGAACGGGGGCUCAGCCAGAGCAAGGUGUCUGGAAUGAGGAGUUCUGGGGAGGCCUUGGACUCCGAGUCUGCCCAUCGGGCCUGGGUUUGCAAGCCACCUGCUUCUGUCCUCUGUACGUCAGCACUUGCCCAGCCUCCCAGAGCAGCGGUGAGGAGUCAAGGCUCAAGUCAUUUUCAAAUGGAUUUCUCCAACAGAACCUCAUUUUUCAGCCACAGUCUUCUCCAGAAGGCCAGCAUAUGACACUGAUAAAAGGGGUGUUGAUCAACAUAAGUUUCCAAGCUCAGGGUGCUGAAAGGUCCUUAGUCUAAAGUCACUUGAGAGGGUAAGUGUGUGACACGUGAUGGACACACCCUACCCAGGGUGGUGUUGAGGGCCGUGGCCCCCCUGGGCGCUGCCCCAGCACUCCGUCUAUUUCUGCAGCUGGUCUGAGCGGCACGGCACCAACAAAGGCUUGAGGCCCGCAGGCAGAAAGCUGGUUUAAAAAAUGAAUUCAAGAGUGGGUAUGUGGAUACGUAUGACUGAUUCACUUUGCUGUACAGCAAGAAACUAACACAAUAUUGUAAAGCAACUAUACUCCAAUAAAAAUUAAUUUGAAAAAAUGAAUUCAAAUCAAGACUUGGUGACAACCCCAAGGCCCGGUCACAGAUUCCAGGUGUCUACAGUGCCUGUCUGACGACCCCCAGCCCUGGCUGUGGGACCCUGGCAAGUCCCUUGCCCUCUCUGGACUUCAGGAGGCACAGGAGGCCAUGGUCUACCUCCAGGGGCCCAUCUGUUUACCUUGGCAAGUCUGGAUUUGGUGAUCAGAGACAUUUGGCCAAUGGCCUGGCUCCGCAUGGCCCUCAGAAGCCUGGUGGAUGCAGUCAGGGGACACGAGUUCGAGCCCUGGCCCGGGAAGAUCCCACAUGCCGCAGAGCAACUAAGCCCGUGAACCACAACUACUGAAGCCCGCGCUCCUAAAGCCCGUGCUCCGCGACAAGAGAAGCCACCGCAAUGAGAAGCCCGCACACUGCAACGAAGAGUAGCCCACACUCGCGCAACUAGAGAAAGCCUGCACACAGCAACGAAGACCCAACACAGCCAAAAAUAAAAUAAUAAAAUACGAAUAAAUAAAU